Molecule: ribosomal RNA, 216 nt
Filed under: Glomeromycotina sp.
Lineage: Eukaryota; Fungi; Glomeromycota
Description: partial small subunit ribosomal RNA
Rfam family: Eukaryotic small subunit ribosomal RNA (bases 92-216)
Source: RNAcentral
GGGUCAGUAGGUUGGUCGUGCCACCGGUACGUACUGGUCUCACUGAUUCCUCCUUCCUGAAGAACCGUAAUGCCGUUAAUUUGGUGUCGCGGGGAAACAGGACUGUUACUUUGAAAAAAUUAGAGUGUUUAAAGCAAGCUAACGCUUGAAUACAUUAGCAUGGAAUAAUGAAAUAGGACGAUCGAUCCUAUUUUGUUGGUUUCUAGGAUUGACGUA